RNAcentral lists this non-coding RNA (30 nucleotides) under Rattus norvegicus (Norway rat). The record is from RNAcentral. Lineage: Eukaryota; Metazoa; Chordata; Mammalia; Rodentia; Muridae.
GAGGUUGUGGACUUUCAUAGUCAGAGUCUC